Molecule: ribosomal RNA, 253 nt
Filed under: uncultured bacterium
Lineage: Bacteria
Description: partial 16S ribosomal RNA
Rfam family: Bacterial small subunit ribosomal RNA
Source: RNAcentral
UACAGAGGGUGCGAGCGUUGUCCGGAAUUAUUGGGCGUAAAGAGCUCGUAGGCGGUUUGUUGCGUCGGCCGUGAAAACUUGGGGCUUAACUCCAAGCCUGCGGUCGAUACGGGCAGACUUGAGUUCGGCAGGGGAGACUGGAAUUCCUGGUGUAGCGGUGAAAUGCGCAGAUAUCAGGAGGAACACCGGUGGCGAAGGCGGGUCUCUGGGCCGAUACUGACGCUGAGGAGCGAAAGCGUGGGGAGCGAACAGG